Molecule: long non-coding RNA, 983 nt
Organism: Oncorhynchus keta (chum salmon)
Lineage: Eukaryota; Metazoa; Chordata; Actinopteri; Salmoniformes; Salmonidae
Exons: 5
Source: RefSeq, a predicted model, not a curated record
AGUUUAAUGUCUCUCUCUCUCUCUCUUCUCGUCCAGAGGUCACUAGUUUAAUGUCUUUGUCUCUCUCUCUUCUCGUCCAGAGGUCACUAGUUUAAUGUCUUUCUCUCUCUCUUCUCGUCCAGAGGUCACUAGUUUAAUGUCUUUGUCUCUCUCUCUUCUCGUCCAGAGGUCACUAGUUUAAUGUCUUUGUCUCUCUCUCUACUCGUCCAGAGGUCACUAGUUUAAUGUCUCUCUCUCUCUUCUCGUCCAGAGGUCACUAGUUUAAUGUCUUUGUCUCUCUCUCUCUUCUCGUCCAGAGGUCACUAGUUUAAUGUCUCUCUCUCUCUCUCUCUUCUCAUCCAGAGGUCACUAGUUUAAUGUCUUUGUCUCUCUCUCUUCUCGUCCAGAGGUCACUAGUUUAAUGUCUUUGUCUCUCUCUCUUCUCGUCCAGAGGUCACUAGUUUAAUGUCUUUGUCUCUCUCUCUUCUCGUCCAGAGGUCACUAGUUUAAUGUCUUUGUCUCUCUCUCUUCUCGUCCAGAGGUCACUAGUUUAAUGUCUUUGUCUCUCUCUCUUCUCGUCCAGAGGUCACUAGUUUAAUGUCUUUGUCUCUCUCUCUCUUCUCGUCCAGAGGUCACUAGUUUAAUGUCUUUGUCUCUCUCUUGUCGUCCAGAGGUCACUAGUUUAAUGUCUUUGUCUCUCUCUCUUCUCGUCCAGAGGUCACUAGUUUAAUGUCUUUAUCUCUCUCUCUUCUCGUCCAGAGGUCACUAGUUUAAUGUCUUUAUCUCUCUCUCUUCUCGUCCAGAGGUCACUAGUUUAAUGUCUUUGUCUCUCUCUCUUCUCGUCCAGAGGUCAGUAGUUUAAUGUCUUUAUCUCUCUCUUUUCUCGUCCAGAGGUCAGUAGUUUAAUGUCUUUAUCUCUCUCUCUUCUCGUCCAGAGGUCACUAGUUUAAUGUCUUUGUCUCUCUCUCUUCUCGUCCAGAGGUCACUAGUUUAAUGUCUUUGUC